This 321-nucleotide long non-coding RNA is filed under the name Triticum aestivum (bread wheat). RNAcentral's name for it is "long non-coding RNA (TAES_LNC002510)". The record is from RNAcentral. Lineage: Eukaryota; Viridiplantae; Streptophyta; Magnoliopsida; Poales; Poaceae.
UGUGCUGACGGUUGGCUCAUGUAGUAUGGAAGUGAGUGUUGCCUGGUCCCUUUUCCGUCGUGGAUUCUGACCUUGAAAGGCUGAUGCUGACAGGAGAUCUGAACUCAUUUGGCCUGCUGUACUUGUGUUAUGAUGUAGUGGUAGCCGAGAUCUGCUCUACUUAUGUUAUGAUGUGGUAGCUGACUAGCUGUUGCUUGGUGUAUGCUAAGUGGUACUGUUGCUUAGGUGGUGUAUGUUAAGUGGUACUGUUGCAUUUGUGGACAGUGUAAUAUUUGAUCACCUCGCUUUUGUUAAUACUAUUAUGCAUGGGUAAUUGUCUUG